AAGACCUUGCGCUUUUGGAGCGGCCGAUGCCUGAUUAGCUUGUUGGUAAGGUAAAAGCUUACCAAGGCUUCGAUCAGUAGCUGGUCUGAGAGGACGACCAGCCACACUGGGACUGAGACACGGCCCAGACUCCUACGGGAGGCAGCAGUGGGGAAUUUUGGACAAUGGGGGCAAGCCUGAUCCAGCCAUGCCGCGUGAGUGAAGAAGGCCUUCGGGUUGUAAAGCUCUUUCAGCCGGAACGAAACGGUUACGGUUAACACCCGUGACUACUGACGGUACCGGAAGAAGAAGCACCGGCUAACUACGUGCCAGCAGCCGCGGUAAUACGUAGGGUGCGAGCGUUAAUCGGAAUUACUGGGCGUAAAGCGUGCGCAGGUGGUUUUGUAAGUCAGAUGUGAAAGCCCCGGGCUCAACCUGGGAACU
RNAcentral lists this ribosomal RNA (423 nucleotides) under uncultured bacterium. RNAcentral describes it as "bacterial SSU rRNA". It matches the Rfam family "Bacterial small subunit ribosomal RNA", at positions 207 to 622 of the family's 1533-position model. The record is from RNAcentral.